GAGAGCGCUGUUCAUUCUUAUUAUUAUUAUUUACUCGUGGUGAUUUCACAGCUGUUUUACUCUUAAAAACUACAUUUCUAGCAUUAGUUACAUCUUACAGCACAGCUCUGCAUGACAUAAAGGUCAUUAUCAUAUUCACAUUUUGAAGGAAACACUAUAGCUGCGUCCGAAUUCGCAUACUUCCAUACUAUAUAGUAGGCGAAAAACAGUAUGCGAAGCAAGUAGUAUGUCCGAAUUCUCAGUAUUCGAAAAACAGUAGGCGAGAUGUAACCGGAUGGCCUACUACUUCCGGCCGAAUUCCGUAGUAUGCAUAGGAUGGACACUACUCUAUCCCAUGAGGCACCGGGAGAGGGCUCGUCAUACUCAUAUUCGAAAAUAAUGGAAAAUCGUGACGCCGCUGUUUUGAAGUAG
RNAcentral lists this long non-coding RNA (411 nucleotides) under Carassius auratus (goldfish). RNAcentral describes it as "lncRNA (ENSCARG00000065097.1)". Lineage: Eukaryota; Metazoa; Chordata; Actinopteri; Cypriniformes; Cyprinidae. The record is from RNAcentral.